RNAcentral lists this ribosomal RNA (429 nucleotides) under Pseudomonadota bacterium. RNAcentral's name for it is "Proteobacteria bacterium partial 16S ribosomal RNA". It matches the Rfam family "Bacterial small subunit ribosomal RNA", at positions 355 to 776 of the family's 1533-position model. The record is from RNAcentral. Lineage: Bacteria; Pseudomonadati; Pseudomonadota.
UGGGGAAUAUUGGACAAUGGGCGAAAGCCUGAUCCAGCCAUGCCGCGUGUGUGAAGAAGGUCUUCGGAUUGUAAAGCACUUUAAGUUGGGAGGAAGGGCAGUAAGCGAAUACCUUGCUGUUUUGACGUUACCGACAGAAUAAGCACCGGCUAACUCUGUGCCAGCAGCCGCGGUAAUACAGAGGGUGCAAGCGUUAAUCGGAAUUACUGGGCGUAAAGCGCGCGUAGGUGGUUCGUUAAGUUGAAUGUGAAAGCCCCGGGCUCAACCUGGGAACUGCAUCCAAAACUGGCGAGCUGGAGUAGGGCAGAGGGUGGUGGAAUUUACUGUGUAGCGGUGAAAUGCGUAGAUAUAGGAAGGAACAACAGUGGCGAGGGCGACCACCUGGGCUCAUACUGACACUGAGGUGCGAAAGCGUGGGGAGCAAACAGG